GCUUGGGGUUCUGCCGGCUGUGAGGGGUGGCUGUUAACUCACAUUAAGCAAUCAAUUCUGAAGGCAGAUCUACUGGCUGGCUUUGUUGGCUAUAGACUGAUUAAAUACAGACAACUCUCAACAACGGAUAUCUUGGCUCCCGUAACGAUGAAGAACGCAGCGAAAUGCGAUACGUAGUGUGAAUUGCAGAAUUCCGUGAACCAUCGAAUCUUUGAACGCAAAUUGCGCUCGAGGCCUCGGCCAAGAGCAUGUCUGCCUCAGCGUCGGCUACUACCCUCAACUAAGUUUCCUAUUACUAUAGGGAUGCCGGUUGGAUCUGGCUGUCCGGCUUUCCUUUCAGGUUGCCGGUCAGCUGAAAUACAUUCACGCUCUGGGGGCUGCUUUCCUUUCGAGGAAAGGCGGGUUCCGAUUUGGUAGGUGACCUUUGCCGGUUACAUGCCUUCGUUGCCCGCUAAGACUCCCAGUAAGCGUUGUGCAGGACGCCUUUUGGCUUUCGACCUGAGGUCAGGCAAGAACACCCGCUGAACUUAAGCAUAUCAAUAAGCGGAGGAAAAGAA
This 557-nucleotide ribosomal RNA is filed under the name Trebouxia sp. clade V LM-2014. RNAcentral describes it as "eukaryotic LSU rRNA". The stretch from base 113 to 266 matches the Rfam family "5.8S ribosomal RNA". The record is from RNAcentral. Lineage: Eukaryota; Viridiplantae; Chlorophyta; Trebouxiophyceae; Trebouxiales; Trebouxiaceae.